CUUACGGAGCCCCUGCUAUGUCCUCCGGCCCUUACAGAGUAAGGGUAAUCUCCAAGGCUCACAACAGGCCCUCUGUCUGGGUGGCCAGACCAGUCAGGAUUUGAACUCAGUUUUCCAAACAGUAACAAUUCCCAUCUGUUCAGCAGCUACUAUGCUUUACAGACUUGUGACAUUCAUACCACACCUGGGGGGGUGAGCUCAUCAUUCCCUCAUUUUACAGGUGAGGCAGCUGAGACUUCAGGAGGCCUCUGCUCACACGCCACCUCCUUGAGAUGCCUUGCCAGACCACCCUGUUAAAGUAGUCACCCCCACCCCUGCCCAAUAUGCCCUACCCUCUUCCCUAUUUUAUCUUCAUAGCAUGCAUCGCGGCCUGCUAAUAUUGUGUGUCUCCAUUGCAUUUUGUCUGUCUCCCUGACUAGCUCCAGGUCAGUUUAUCCUAGUGGCUUGCACUCCAGUGAUCUCUCAGACUAGCCCCGUGGGGCAAGUUAUUUUGAUGAUCUGUGCUUCCUUCGGGGUAAUGAUAGGACCUUACCUGAAAGGUUUCUUGUAAGGGUUAAAUGAGUUAAUAUCGGUUAAGUGUCGGCCACUGCCAUUGUUUUGUCCCAGAGCUGUAGCUCCAGGGUCUUCAACAGUAAACAGUAGGUUGUCAAUAAAUAUGUAUUAAAUUUAAAAA
Molecule: non-coding RNA, 673 nt
Filed under: Pan troglodytes (chimpanzee)
Lineage: Eukaryota; Metazoa; Chordata; Mammalia; Primates; Hominidae
Source: RNAcentral